This 200-nucleotide ribosomal RNA is filed under the name uncultured bacterium. Its description in RNAcentral is "partial 16S ribosomal RNA". It matches the Rfam family "Bacterial small subunit ribosomal RNA", at positions 8 to 204 of the family's 1533-position model. The record is from RNAcentral.
AGAGUUUGAUCAUGGCUCAGAACGAACGUUAGCGGCGUGCCUAAUACAUGCAAGUCGAGCGAAUCUUUAGGAGCUUGCUCCUGAAGAUUAGCGGCGGACGGGUGAGUAACACGUGGGCAACCUGCCUGUAAGACUGGGAUAACUUCGGGAAACCGGAGCUAAUACCGGAUAAUUCUUUUUCUCACAUGAAGAAAAGCUGA